Syzygium oleosum is the source of this 2527-nucleotide long non-coding RNA. RefSeq lists it as uncharacterized. Lineage: Eukaryota; Viridiplantae; Streptophyta; Magnoliopsida; Myrtales; Myrtaceae. The transcript has 2 exons. The record is from RefSeq and is a predicted model, not a curated record.
AAAGCAUUGAACACCCAUGCAGAUUGGAGGAAGCCAGAGGUUUUACAAUGGGCUCAUGUUCAUGGCGGAUCAUCAAAAGGUGAAGAGGAGGUAUCUACAGAUAGCAUGAUAGCUUCUCCAUACCAAUUGAAGGAUUUCUUAUCCUUUGGAAAAUCGAACCCUCGUGGUAAAUCAUCAAUGGCUAAUGGUGACUGUUAUACACAUGAACUUACUCUGAGUGUGUCUUGAGUCCCAGUACAGUGAGGUGUACAUGAUGACUGGUCAGUUGUGGCUGGAAUCGCUAGAUAACAAUCUCAAGUCGAUGACAUGCUAUUGACUGGGUUCCUCGUCCUCUGGGUAGCUCCAUCUAUAGUCAUUGUUACUAGUUCUGGCGCCAUCGUAGCAGCCUCUGCCACUCACAUGUUGAGUUCGGAGAUGUUUUCAUGGAAGUAGAUUUUUGAGACAUGCAGAGUGGAAAGCUUAGUCGUAGUCGCGGGGGCGUUGUCCUCCAUCGUCAUGCACAUAGGACUCAAACCUUGUCGUAACCUUUGUCUUAGACAGGCACCAGAGUCGGGAAAGGUUUUUACAGGGAGAGGGAAGAAAAGAAAGCAUCCCCCUGAUGAGACAUGGAAUGGAGUCUUGUCCUUAUCCUAAAAGCCAGGGCAUCCUUUUUUUUUUUUCACUUUUCUUCGGCAAGAUAUGCUUCGCUGAUAGCUGAUUCUGGGUGAUGGGAGCCACUCGAAAUAAAAGAUGGGGAGGGGAACCCCACCAGGACAAAAAUUUCAAUUAUUGUACCCGGUUCGAUCAUGUAUUUUAGAUCGUAUUCUCCAGUGGCUAGUGGGUAGUUAUCAGGGGGGAAGUGAUAGGUUGCUGUUGUCUGCUUCCUUUCUGGUGGAAAACGAAACUUACCUUUUGGGUCCUCCCCCUCCCCUCUUAACGUUAGUCCUUUUAUCUCACCAGGAGAAGAGGGAGGGAGGGGCUUCUGCUUACCAAGAGAUUUCCCCAUGCCACGUCCAAGUUCAAGCUAGGCUGGCAUCGGUUCAGAUUGGAGAAAACGAAAGUGGUUGACGAACUUACCCUGGUUGCAAAAUGCGCUAUCCCGGUCGUGGUGGGAAGUUUCGAACCGAUAACUGGGAUGGCGAUCAAGCAUGCAGCACCCUCGCCAAUUAGGAUACAAUUACGGGUUUGCAAAUUUUGUGUUUUGCACAAUACGGAAGAACCGCAGAAGAAUUCCUAGAUACAGAACUAGUAACUGCCUGAUGAAUGUGGCUUUUUGACACCUAGAAAGCAACCAUACAAAAGACAUCUUUAUUUGCCCCUGGUGGUUUCCCCUGCACCGAAGGUCAAAGGUUGGAAAGAAAAAAAGUUUGGAUAAAAAGAGAGAAGGUAGACACGAUCUUCUCUCGCAAUCUUCUCUCGGAUUGAGCAUCGUCUUUACACUCGAGACAAGUUUCCCUUGUAUUACCACAACGUCCGGCCUUUCAAACCUCCUGCAAAACAAUUGGAGAAAACAGAACAGGAUCAUCAUCAGCAAGCGCCUCAUAGAUUCAGUCGCGCGAUGUGUGCCGACGGCAACAAACCGUCUCACCCUUUUUCUCAGAACCAGCUUUCUCAACCUAUCACUUCUCCAACUCAGAUUUACCCUGUAGAGAUUGAAUGGCAGAGCGCCUACCCUAGUUAGAAGGUAAACAAACUAUGUGCAGUCACUUGUAGAACAUUAAGAGUUUUCUUACCUUGGCUCUGGCUGCAUCAUUGUCCACUGGAGAAUGUCUCUUCUGCAAAGCACCAAGAAGCAAAGCCAUCAGAAAUUUCACUUACUUACACAUUGCUUCUACAUGUGGGGGGUGUGUGUGUUUAAGCCAAUAUAUACUACAGGAAGAGACUUGCCUUGGUGAAGCUCAUUGGAAUGGAGGUUGCAGUGUCCUCAUAGCACAAAUGCUGCUGCUGCUCCUCCUCCUCUCUCCCGUGCUCUUUCGCCUUCUCCUUCUUCUUCUUCUUGCUGCCCCCGGAACCGAGCUUCCGCGACCCGGGGCCGGACGAAGAGCGCUCGUUCUCGUUGUUCAAGUCCUCUUCGACUUCAUAGAACGGCGGCCCGGACGAUGCAUCAGAGACCAUGGACAGAUUCCCCUCUCCUUCCUCCUCGUUUUUGCCUCUCCCUGACCUCGUGUAAGUGUAGUCCUUGUGGAUUUCUCCCUGCCAUUGCUCCAGCGCGAGAGUCCAGCCAGACUCACAGUCUCCGCUGGAUUGUGAGGUUGAUGUGUUCAUUGUCCCGAAUUCCCUCUGCGAUUCUACAACUCCAACAGGGACUUUUUAUAGGAACUGAGGAGCAAUUCAGUAAUGCCCCAGAAUUUUCUUUUCCAAAAAAAUUGAAAUAAACAGAAUUUCCCGGUGAGAAUCUCUCUCUCUCUCUCUCUCUCUCUCUCUCUCUCUCUCUCUCUCUCUCUCUCUGUGUUCUUUUUCUGUAUUGGAAAAGAGAGAAGGAGAGGGCUGGGGGAAAAGAACAAACGUAUCACACUCAAAUCCUAGACUUGCUUUGUCCUUUGCUCUA